GAUGAACGCUGGCGGCGUGCCUAAUACAUGCAAGUCGAGCGAACGGACGAGAAGCUUGCUUCUCUGAUGUUAGCGGCGGACGGGUGAGUAACACGUGGAUAACCUACCUAUAAGACUGGGAUAACUUCGGGAAACCGGAGCUAAUACCGGAUAAUAUUUUGAACCGCAUGGUUCAAAAGUGAAAGACGGUCUUGCUGUCACUUAUAGAUGGAUCCGCGCUGCAUUAGCUAGUUGGUAAGGUAACGGCUUACCAAGGCAACGAUGCGUAGCCGACCUGAGAGGGUGAUCGGCCACACUGGAACUGAGACACGGUCCAGACUCCUACGGGAGGCAGCAGUAGGGAAUCUUCCGCAAUGGGCGAAAGCCUGACGGAGCAACGCCGCGUGAGUGAUGAAGGUCUUCGGAUCGUAAAACUCUGUUAUUAGGGAAGAACAUAUGUGUAAGGAACUGUGCACAGCUUGACGGUACCUAAUCAGAAAGCCACGGCUAACUACGUG
This 497-nucleotide ribosomal RNA is filed under the name uncultured bacterium. Its description in RNAcentral is "partial 16S ribosomal RNA". It matches the Rfam family "Bacterial small subunit ribosomal RNA", at positions 28 to 507 of the family's 1533-position model. The record is from RNAcentral.